This 443-nucleotide ribosomal RNA is filed under the name uncultured bacterium. Its description in RNAcentral is "partial 16S ribosomal RNA". It matches the Rfam family "Bacterial small subunit ribosomal RNA", at positions 338 to 795 of the family's 1533-position model. The record is from RNAcentral.
CCUACGGGAGGCUGCAGUGGGGAAUAUUGCACAAUGGGGGAAACCCUGAUGCAGCAACGCCGCGUGAAGGAAGACGGUUUUCGGAUUGUAAACUUCUAUCAAUAGGGAAGAAAGAAAUGACGGUACCUAACUAAGAAGCCCCGGCUAACUCCGUGCCAGCCGCCGCGGUAAUCCGUAGGGGGCAAGCGUUAUCCGGAAUUACUGGGUGUAAAGGGAGAGUAGGCGGCAAGGUAAGCGAUAUGUGAAAGCCUUAAGAUUAACUAAAGGAUUGCAUAACGAACUAUCUAGCUAGAGUACAGGGGAGGAAAGCGGAAGUCCCAGUGUAGCGGUGAAAUGCGUAGAUAUUAGGAAGAACACCAGUGGCGAAGGCGGCUUUCUGGACUGAAACUGACGCUGAGGCUCGAAAGCGUGGGGAGCGAACAGGAUUAGAUACACGAGUAGUC